Molecule: long non-coding RNA, 254 nt
Filed under: Monodelphis domestica (gray short-tailed opossum)
Lineage: Eukaryota; Metazoa; Chordata; Mammalia; Didelphimorphia; Didelphidae
Description: lncRNA (ENSMODG00000048432.1)
Source: RNAcentral
CAGAAAGACAAGCUGAAGUACUUCAUGGGACAGGAUCUGCCCAGGCACUAACAAAGGUUAAUUCAGCUAACCGAGUUUCUCAACUAUUAGAUUAAUGAAUGUCCUGCUUUCCUCAUUCUAUCACUAAUUGGAUGACUGUCUUUCAAGUUGGGCCAUUUUUUGGUUUACUAACAGACACACGAGGACGAGGCUGCUCUGUGCACUGGAAUCGCCCAUCAGCCACAGGGUCUCCGCUCAGAUGUCAAGCUCCUUGA